GCCGGGGUGGUGGAAUUGGCAGACACGCAUGGUUGAGGGCCAUGUGCUUAACGGCAUGCAGGUUCAAAUCCUGUCCCCGGCAUCA
This 85-nucleotide transfer RNA is filed under the name Caldifarciminota bacterium. RNAcentral describes it as "tRNA-Leu". It matches the Rfam family "tRNA". Rfam says of the family: Transfer RNA (tRNA) molecules are approximately 80 nucleotides in length. Their secondary structure includes four short double-helical elements and three loops (D, anti-codon, and T loops). The record is from RNAcentral. Lineage: Bacteria; Pseudomonadati; Caldifarciminota.